This 982-nucleotide ribosomal RNA is filed under the name Leucobacter komagatae. Its description in RNAcentral is "bacterial SSU rRNA". It matches the Rfam family "Bacterial small subunit ribosomal RNA", at positions 54 to 1048 of the family's 1533-position model. Lineage: Bacteria; Bacillati; Actinomycetota; Actinomycetes; Micrococcales; Microbacteriaceae. The record is from RNAcentral.
CAUGCAAGUCGAACGAUGAAGCCCAGCUUGCUGGGUGGAAGAGUGGCGAACGGGUGAGUAACACGUGAGUAACCUGCCCUGAACUCUGGGAUAAGCACUGGAAACGGUGUCUAAUACUGGAUACGACCUAUCACCGCAUGGUGUGUGGGUGGAAAGAUUUAUCGGUUCUGGAUGGACUCGCGGCCUAUCAGCUAGAUGGUGAGGUAAUGGCUCACCAUGGCGACGACGGGUAGCCGGCCUGAGAGGGUGACCGGCCACACUGGGACUGAGACACGGCCCAGACUCCUACGGGAGGCAGCAGUGGGGAAUAUUGCACAAUGGGCGCAAGCCUGAUGCAGCAACGCCGCGUGAGGGAUGACGGCCUUCGGGUUGUAAACCUCUUUUAGUAGGGAAGAAGCGAAAGUGACGGUACCUGCAGAAAAAGCACCGGCUAACUACGUGCCAGCAGCCGCGGUAAUACGUAGGGUGCAAGCGUUGUCCGGAAUUAUUGGGCGUAAAGAGCUCGUAGGCGGCUUGUCGCGUCUGCUGUGAAAACCCGGGGCUCAACCCCGGGCCUGCAGUGGGUACGGGCAGGCUAGAGUGCGGUAGGGGAGAUUGGAAUUCCUGGUGUAGCGGUGGAAUGCGCAGAUAUCAGGAGGAACACCGAUGGCGAAGGCAGAUCUCUGGGCCGCUACUGACGCUGAGGAGCGAAAGCAUGGGGAGCGAACAGGAUUAGAUACCCUGGUAGUCCAUGCCGUAAACGUUGGGAACUAGAUGUAGGGCCUGUUCCACGGGUUCUGUGUCGUAGCUAACGCAUUAAGUUCCCCGCCUGGGGAGUACGGCCGCAAGGCUAAAACUCAAAGGAAUUGACGGGGGCCCGCACAAGCGGCGGAGCAUGCGGAUUAAUUCGAUGCAACGCGAAGAACCUUACCAAGGCUUGACAUAUACGAGAACGGGCGAGAGAUCGUCACUCUUUGGACACUCGUAUACAGGUGGUGCAUGG